Molecule: small nuclear RNA, 106 nt
Organism: Perognathus longimembris pacificus (Pacific pocket mouse)
Lineage: Eukaryota; Metazoa; Chordata; Mammalia; Rodentia; Heteromyidae
Source: RefSeq, a predicted model, not a curated record
GUGCUCACUUCAGCAGCAAAUAUACUAAAAUUGAAUGAUACAGGUAAGAUUAGCACGACCCCUGCACAAGGAUGACAUACAAAUCUGUGAUGUGUUCCAUAUUUUU